AGAGUUUGAUCAUGGCUCAGGACGAACGCUGGCGGCGUGCCUAAUACAUGCAAGUCGAGCGAGCAGAACCAGCAGAUUUACUUCGGUAAUGACGCUGGGGACGCGAGCGGCGGAUGGGUGAGUAACACGUGGGGAACCUGCCCCAUAGUCUGGGAUACCACUUGGAAACAGGUGCUAAUACCGGAUAAGAAAGCAGAUCGCAUGAUCAGCUUAUAAAAGGCGGCGUAAGCUGUCGCUAUGGGAUGGCCCCGCGGUGCAUUAGCUAGUUGGUAAGGUAACGGCUUACCAAGGCGAUGAUGCAUAGCCGAGUUGAGAGACUGAUCGGCCACAUUGGGACUGAGACACGGCCCAAACUCCUACGGGAGGCAGCAGUAGGGAAUCUUCCACAAUGGACGCAAGUCUGAUGGAGCAACGCCGCGUGAGUGAAGAAGGUUUUCGGAUCGUAAAGCUCUGUUGUUGGUGAAGAAGGAUAGAGGUAGUAACUGGCCUCUAUUUGACGGUAAUCAACCAGAAAGUCACGGCUAACUACGUGCCAGCAGCCGCGGUAAUUC
This 551-nucleotide ribosomal RNA is filed under the name uncultured bacterium. Its description in RNAcentral is "bacterial SSU rRNA". It matches the Rfam family "Bacterial small subunit ribosomal RNA", at positions 8 to 526 of the family's 1533-position model. The record is from RNAcentral.